Molecule: ribosomal RNA, 460 nt
Filed under: uncultured bacterium
Lineage: Bacteria
Description: partial 16S ribosomal RNA
Rfam family: Bacterial small subunit ribosomal RNA
Source: RNAcentral
CCUACGUGCGGCAGCAGUGAGGAAUAUUGGUCAAUGGGCGCGAGCCUGAACCAGCCAAGUAGCGUGAAGGAUGACUGCCCUACGGGUUGUAAACUUCUUUUAUAAAGGAAUAAAGUGAAGCACGUGUGCCUUUUUGUAUGUACUUUAUGAAUAAGGAUCGGCUAACUCCGUGCCAGCAGCCGCGGUAAUACGGAGGCUCCGAGCGUUAUCCGGAUUUAUUGGGUUUAAAGGGAGCGUAGAUGGGUUGUUAAGUCAGUUGUGAAAGUUUGCGGCUCAACCGUAAAAUUGCAAUUGAUACUGGCAGUCUUGAGUACAGUUGAGGUAGGCGGAAUUCGUGGUGUAGCGGUGAAAUGCUUAGAUAGCACGAAGAACUCCGAUUGCGAAGGCAGCUUACUAAACUGCCACUGACAUUGAUGCUCGAAAGUGUGGGUAUCAAACAGGAUUAGAUACCCGGGUAGUC